Molecule: ribosomal RNA, 406 nt
Filed under: uncultured bacterium
Lineage: Bacteria
Description: partial 16S ribosomal RNA
Rfam family: Bacterial small subunit ribosomal RNA
Source: RNAcentral
AUUGAACGCUGGCGGCAGGCCUAACACAUGCAAGUCGAACGAGUGGCGGACGGGUGAGUAAUUUCUGGGAAACUGCCUGAUGGAGGGGGAUAACUACUGGAAACGGUGGCUAAUACCGCAUACCAUCGGAUGUGCCCAGAUGGGAUUAGCUAGUAGGUGGGGUAAAGGCUCACCUAGGCGACGCUCCCUAGCUGGGCUGAGAGGAUGACCAGCCACACUGGAACUGAGACACGGUCCAGACUCCUACGGGAGGCAGCAGAGGGGAAUAUUGCACAAUGGGAGCAAGCCUGAUGCAGCCAGUCCGCGGGUAGGGAGAAGUCCUUCGGGUUGUAAAGUAGUUUCAGCGGGGAGGCGUUACCCGCAGAAGAAGCACCGGCUAACUCCGUGCCAGCAGCCGCGGUAAUUC